CUAAUCUGCCCAAUGAUAAAAAUUAAAUGGCCGCGGUAAAUUGACCGUGCAAAGGUAGCAUAAUAAAUAGUCUUUUAAUUGGAGGCUUGAAUGAAUGAUUGAAUGAAAAAUUGACUUAAUUAAUAUUAAUAAUUGAAAUUGAUUUUUAAGUAAAAAAGCUUAAAUAUAUGAGUGGGACGAGAAGACCCUAUAGAAUUUUAAAAAUUUUCUUGAGUUUAUUUAUAUAGUUAAUUAAUUUUUUUUUUUAUUUAAGUAAUUUUUUUGUUGGGGUGAUAUUAAAAUAUAAUUAACUUUUAAUAAAAUUUUCAUAAAUGUAUGUAAUUAUUGAUCCAAAAUUUUGAUUAUAAGAAUAAAUUACCUUAGGGAUAACAGCGUAAUUAAUUUGGAGAGUUCAUAUCGAUAAAUAAGAUUACGACCUCGAUGUUGGAUUAAGAAUAGGAAUUGGAGCAAAAUUUAUUAUUUCUGGGUC
This 469-nucleotide ribosomal RNA is filed under the name Maoricicada cassiope. RNAcentral describes it as "partial large subunit ribosomal RNA". The record is from RNAcentral. Lineage: Eukaryota; Metazoa; Arthropoda; Insecta; Hemiptera; Cicadidae.